This 630-nucleotide ribosomal RNA is filed under the name Exiguobacterium aurantiacum. RNAcentral describes it as "bacterial SSU rRNA". The record is from RNAcentral. Lineage: Bacteria; Bacillati; Bacillota; Bacilli; Caryophanales.
GCGCAGGAAAUCAUCUGAACCCUUCGGGGGGACGUUGAUGGAAUGAGCGGCGGACGGGUGAGUAACACGUAAAGAACCUGCCCUCAGGUCUGGGAUAACCACGAGAAAUCGGGGCUAAUACCGGAUGGGUCAUCGGACCGCAUGGUCCGAGGAUGAAAGGCGCUUCGGCGUCGCCUGGGGAUGGCUUUGCGGUGCAUUAGCUAGUUGGUGGGGUAAUGGCCCACCAAGGCGACGAUGCAUAGCCGACCUGAGAGGGUGAUCGGCCACACUGGGACUGAGACACGGCCCAGACUCCUACGGGAGGCAGCAGUAGGGAAUCUUCCACAAUGGACGAAAGUCUGAUGGAGCAACGCCGCGUGAACGAUGAAGGCCUUCGGGUCGUAAAGUUCUGUUGUAAGGGAAGAACAAGUGCCGCAGGCAAUGGCGGCACCUUGACGGUACCUUGCGAGAAAGCCACGGCUAACUACGUGCCAGCAGCCGCGGUAAUACRUAGGUGGCAAGCGUUGUCCGGAAUUAUUGGGCGUAAAGCGCGCGCAGGCGGCCUCUUAAGUCUGAUGUGAAAGCCCCCGGCUCAACCGGGGAGGGYCAUUGGAAAYUGGGASGCUUGAGUAYASGAGAKAASASUGGAAU